CGCUGCAUACACGAGCGCGCGUUUUACUUUUCGAAGCCGGCGAGGAGGCUUGCGAAUAAUCCUCGAUAUGCGUGUGCGCGUACAUAGAGGCAAUAUAUGUGUGACACUACAGGGUUUCGACGUAUCUUUUGAACUUAUGAACAAAUUUUAAUGAGAUAAUGCUCUAUAAAUUAAAAAUUCAUUUUUUUAAUAAAUUCAAAUUUCAUCAUAAAGAGAAAGCAGGUUGAACGAUUUGAAAGGAAACACUAGAGACACGGAAACUUGUGGAAUUAACAUAGUUAGAAAUGGCGAUCGUGAAUCAAGGAAACGAGUAUAGUGUUGAAUUCCUCCUCUUUUUUUUAUGCCUUUAUGGUACGGUUUCGUAUCGACCAAUACACAUGGGAACGUUUCAAUCUCGUUACAUCGUGUCACAUAAAAAACCUUUCAGUGUCGAGUACUGUGUACCGUUGAAAGUUUUCGCGAGUUUCUCUAUCGGUUCGUUUUAACUAUUUGCGAUGUAACUGUACGUAGAGUAUACAUGUUUAAUUUCACAUAUAUAUUUCUAAUUAGCAAUAAUUCAAAAUAUGUAUAUUAACAUACCAAUGAUAAACAAAUAUAUUCUACGUAUAUUCAAGUUAUUCGUAAAAUUCGUAAGAGUCGUUUAUAUUUCUAGAUUUUUCGACCAAGAACAGAGAACGUUCUAAAAAUGUUUCUUCGAAAUGUAUCGCGUGUUCUUGCGGUCAGUAAAUAUGGUGCUCGGGUGACAGUAUACACUACGUUCACCACAGUUCGUUUUUCACGAAUGUAACUUUUGUCGUGUGUACCUUUGCUUCGAGGGAUCACAGGGUAUGAAACAGCUCUGUGCUUCACAAGGUGUAAAUAUUUACGUCUCUGGCCCUUGGGUAUAUUACAUCGAAAUUCUAGAGAAAACGGUCGUCGUUCUUUUUGCGUCGCAAGUUGAACCUGUGCGACAAUUUGUGUAUUUUUGCAACGUGAGCUUUUUACGCAGUUCGUAUCUUAAUAUCGCGACAUAAAUUUCGAUGAUAUGUCAAGUAAUAUUCAUUUGUGACGUAAUCUAUCGUUUUCGAAUCAUUUUGUUCAUUUUUGAAAAAGAAUUCAACCAUUUUUUCAUUUUAACCAAGAUUGACAGAUGCCGAUGAUAUGUAUAUAUAAGGGAUUUUCGAUGGACGUUUCUUCUCGACGGGGUUUCCUGAUCAGCGCCCAGAUUCCCAAAGGGAUCCUCGCGUUUGCUUAAGCCGCUUUCUGGAUUAGCGGAGGCAGUCGUUGUCCGGCUGCUGACUAGCCAGACUUUGCACCACGAAACCGAACGCAAGAACAAUCGGAAAGUCAAACAGUUUGACUCGCCUCGAGCAUGCUAGAGACGCUCCAAUAUUUGGAUUCGUAAUGUAAUUCGCAAGUCGAAAGUGCUGAAACCUCUCGUUUUCCUUCUAUUUAUAUUCGCCUUUUCCCUGGAAAACGAGACACGAGAUGAAAAUCAAAAAUCAGAUUUCUAGACGCGGUGGAAUUUCGAUUGCAAAAGAUUUACGAUGUAAAUUAUAUAUAGGUUAGAUCUCAAUUAAAUAUUCAUUCGAUCCUUUGUAAACAUUCUCUGUAACUAAUAACAAAUUUAUUAUCUAUUUCGAAACGAUUCCGUUUGUCGAAAUCCGAGGUAUAUCGAUAUUCGUGAAUUGAACAAAAAUUUCUGACGCGAUAUUCUCAGAAGAGGAUUUCUUUCGACGAGAGUAGGGAAUUCAGUGGAAAUUCAGUUUAUUUUAAUUCUCUUUUGGUCGGCAUACGAGUUUUAAUCGGGAUUCGGACACGAUUUUCGAAGAAUUAUCUAAUUUUUACCGUGCAAGAUCAAAGGUAAAAGUUUAUCGCAUCUCUCGUUUUCCAGCCUUGAUUCGAAUGCGCCGCAAGAAGGAUGGUUAUCUGCGUCAUAGAUCGAUGUUUGCGUUUCGCUUUCUCGGAUUUGGCGAAACAACUGUUCAUCAAAUGCCACUAUGCCACGAUUUGUUUGCGGAGAGAUCAUCGUUUAUUCGCAUUCUUUCAAAUCGAUUAGCAAUCUUUGUUGUGCCAGCAGAUAUUGCGCAAACAUCGCUUGUAUCGAUCCGACCGAGACAAUCUGCACGAGAUGUUUAAAUGAAAAUUCCGACUAUUUUCUUUCAUCUUGUGACAAUCUUUCAAAUAAGCUUCUCAAUAAAAAUCAAACGAGAAACGAUA
This is a long non-coding RNA of Apis cerana (Asiatic honeybee), 2199 nucleotides long. RefSeq lists it as uncharacterized. NCBI's taxonomy places the organism in Eukaryota, Metazoa, Arthropoda, Insecta, Hymenoptera, Apidae. The record is from RefSeq and is a predicted model, not a curated record.